This 648-nucleotide ribosomal RNA is filed under the name uncultured Enterobacterales bacterium. RNAcentral describes it as "bacterial SSU rRNA". It matches the Rfam family "Bacterial small subunit ribosomal RNA", at positions 73 to 718 of the family's 1533-position model. The record is from RNAcentral. Lineage: Bacteria; Pseudomonadati; Pseudomonadota; Gammaproteobacteria; Enterobacterales.
AGCUUGCUUCUUUGCUGACGAGUGGCGGACGGGUGAGUAAUGUCUGGGAAACUGCCUGAUGGAGGGGGAUAACUACUGGAAACGGUAGCUAAUACCGCAUAACGUCGCAAGACCAAAGAGGGGGACCUUCGGGCCUCUUGCCAUCGGAUGUGCCCAGAUGGGAUUAGCUAGUAGGUGGGGUAACGGCUCACCUAGGCGACGAUCCCUAGCUGGUCUGAGAGGAUGACCAGCCACACUGGAACUGAGACACGGUCCAGACUCCUACGGGAGGCAGCAGUGGGGAAUAUUGCACAAUGGGCGCAAGCCUGAUGCAGCCAUGCCGCGUGUAUGAAGAAGGCCUUCGAGUUGUAAAGUACUUUCAGCGGGGAGGAAGGGAGUAAAGUUAAUACCUUUGCUCAUUGACGUUACCCGCAGAAGAAGCACCGGCUAACUCCGUGCCAGCAGCCGCGGUAAUACGGAGGGUGCAAGCGUUAAUCGGAAUUACUGGGCGUAAAGCGCACGCAGGCGGUUUGUUAAGUCAGAUGUGAAAUCCCCGGGCUCAACAUGGGAACUGCAUCUGAUACUGGCAAGCUUGAGUCUCGUAGAGGGGGGUAGAAUUCCAGGUGUAGCGGUGAAAUGCGUAGAGAUCUGGAGGAAUACCGGUGGCGA